GUCUGUGUUCUGCAUCUCAGAGUAGAGUGAGGGAAGAUACUGCCUUUCCCUUAAACUUCCAAGGUAGGAGGAAAACACCUUGAGAUGGAGAUUUACAUGCAGAGUUUAGAGUGGAACGUUCUGAACAGGUCUGGUAAGAGGAACAAAGAGACGAAGACUGAACAGAGGAGGAAACUGAUCAGGGAAGCAGUUUCAACAAAGACUCCAGCCAAUCACAGGGGACACAGUGGCACUGUGGAACUGUCUUGAAAUGAGGGCUUCUGAACAGAAGAUAUGUAAGAACCACCA
Long non-coding RNA from Fukomys damarensis (Damara mole-rat), 288 nucleotides. RefSeq lists it as uncharacterized. NCBI's taxonomy places the organism in Eukaryota, Metazoa, Chordata, Mammalia, Rodentia, Bathyergidae. The transcript has 3 exons. The record is from RefSeq and is a predicted model, not a curated record.